Molecule: ribosomal RNA, 401 nt
Filed under: uncultured bacterium
Lineage: Bacteria
Description: bacterial SSU rRNA
Rfam family: Bacterial small subunit ribosomal RNA
Source: RNAcentral
UGGGGAAUAUUGGACAAUGGGGGAAACCCUGAUCCAGCAAUGCCGCGUGAGUGAAGAAGGCCUUAGGGUUGUAAAGCUCUUCGCCCGCGAAGAUAAUGACGGUAGCGGGAGAAGAAGCCCCGGCUAACUCCGUGCCAGCAGCCGCGGUAAUACGGAGGGGGCUAGCGUUGUUCGGAAUUACUGGGCGUAAAGCGUACGUAGGCGGAUGCGCAAGUUGGGGGUGAAAUCCCGGGGCUUAACCUCGGAAUUGCCCUCAAAACUGCACGUCUUGAGACCGAGAGAGGUAAGGGGAAUUCCUAGUGUAGAGGUGAAAUUCGUAGAUAUUAGGAAGAACACCGGUGGCGAAGGCGCCUUACUGGCUCGGUACUGACGCUGAGGUACGAAAGCGUGGGGAGCAAACA